RNAcentral lists this long non-coding RNA (308 nucleotides) under Elaeis guineensis (African oil palm). RNAcentral describes it as "long non-coding RNA (EGUI_LNC000953)". The record is from RNAcentral. Lineage: Eukaryota; Viridiplantae; Streptophyta; Magnoliopsida; Arecales; Arecaceae.
GAUAUUGGCUCCACUCACGCCAGCCAUCUUGCAAUCCCAAUAUAAUCAGAUGAUGGCUUCCUUGUCUUCAUGAUCCUUCAAGGUACAUCUCGGGGAUAAAACUCAUUGGAAUUCGAUAUAUCACUGGCUGCAGUAGAGCUGACCGAUUCUCAUUUCUUGUUGGUGAUGCAGAGGUGGUUCUAACAUGUAUGUUCUAAAAUGAGAAGGAAAUAAAAAUUCCUUGGCAUCUGCACUGCACAUGGCAGUUCCACAACUGACAGCCCACUAGAUCAACUAGUAAAUCAUCACAAUAUGCAAGUAUUGCCAGA